This is a non-coding RNA of Lolium perenne, 2873 nucleotides long. Lineage: Eukaryota; Viridiplantae; Streptophyta; Magnoliopsida; Poales; Poaceae. The record is from RefSeq and is a predicted model, not a curated record.
UCCCCGUCACGGCCGAUGCAUAGCAUGAACUGAAGGCACCUCGGCAAGGAAAGACGAAGAUUCGCUAGGGCGCCGAGUGAUUCGGUGCAGGCGAUUGAAACAAGCACAACAUUCAAGCAAUCAUGAAUGUUCGGUGCGCCAAUCGCGGGCAACAAUUAAUGGAUGUACGUUACUAUAUCGCCGGCGGCAUACUUCAUGGCUUCAUGCUUCGUCUCCUCAUCAUCUUUGCCUCUCCCUGCUUCCCUCGAAUUCUCUAUCUCAAGGAGUGAUGCCGACGGUACGCCCGACACUCUAGCUCCCACUCACCGCCGAUGGCGAGGCGGCCGAGAAGAUGGAUGUGAGGGAAGAUCCCGGCAGCCGUAGAGGCUAGAGGGUGUGCCCGGCUCGUCCCGUGCUCGAAGGGAUGAGGCGCUCCCGGUGGGGAGGUGCGCUUGGAGACUGCAGCACGACCAUAACUUCAAUCUCGCCAUCUCGGUAAGGAGCCGGUCUCAUGGGGUUGCUGCGGAUCCGCCAUGUAUGUGGCCAUGUGGAGACCAUCUGACUGAGGACUAUCUCCCCAUUGCCUCCUGCUCUCUUCCAAUCGUUUGAUCUUGAGGUCCAAGUCGCAGACAGACCGGCAGCUACUCACAAGAAUGGGAGAUUCACCCGCGGCGAAGAAUUUGGUUAGGCGAAGUGAAUACCAGGACAUGACGCUGCUUCACUUGCCCUGGCUGCUCCCUAUCUUUAUCUGUCUGUCCUGGUGUUCUCCAUAAUUAACCUCACUUAAGGAUGCCAGCUAUAAGAAUAUUCCAAGGAAGGCAAGAUUUUGAUUUUAUUCUUCUUAUGCAAAUCAGGUUUUCCUGUAAAUAUGCUGGUUCUAAAAGUUUAUUGGACAAUUCUACAUUAUGUUUUGUAUGGAUACUGUCAAUAAUUCGACUAUCAUAUAAGCUUAUUAGGCUCCUGGGAUCUGUCUUGAGCAAUGGAUGGUUUUCUUCUUCAGUGUGAAAUUGUACCAAAGGAAAGAGGCUUCAAAAAUAUUUUAGGACACUCCAGUACCCUCUUGAAUGAAUCUUAUCUCAAGGUUGUAUGUCUUGUUAUAACGGCAGUCCUCCCUCCAUUGUCAAGCAAUUUACUGUAAAGUUUGUACACUUUUUGCAGAAUCAAUAUGGAUGCAACCUGUAUGAUAUGGUUACUUGUAGAACAUUUUGAUUACCACUUGCAUUUAUUUGAGUUGUUACUGCCCUGAAUUCUUACAUGGAGGUGGUUGUUCUGAUGCUAGCGAACUCUUGAAUUGUGAUUUAGAUGGAGAUAUUGAGAACUAUCGUUUUGUGUUCACUACAAAAGAUUCUUUUCAAUUCCUACUGAUGUGUUCUUGCAUUUCUUAUAUUGUUAUCUCCUUCAGGGGCAGGGAGGAUCUGUUUAUCUUCUAUCACUGGCUCUACUUAUUAUUGUCAUGUGCAGAAAUAUUCCACAAAGCCUUCAUCAGGAACCAGUUCGUCACUUGAUUACUAUAUAUAAGGUUUAUCGUAAGCUCACUUGCUGAAUGUGUGUGUGUUAUUAAAGAAAAUUGUUUAAUAUAUACAUAUCCAUAAAAAUGCUGACUGUUGGUCCACUCUGUGUGGAUAAUUCCUUUCAUUUGGAUGCUUGCACAAACAGUGGCCUGCCCUAGAUACCUAUAUGUUGAGUUGCGGUUCAACUAUUCUUCACUCAAAUUUGCAUCUCAAAUCAAAGAGUUGGCCAAAUAAGGACACUUAUUCUACUCAUGUGCUCUCACACUUCAGUGAAGCAACUAUUCCAAGCCCGUCCACUAUUUUAGCUCAUAUUAACAUUAUAGAUCCAGUUGGCCAGAGUUAACCAAAAUCUAUAGGCUGCAUCUUUCUAGCUUUGCUGCUCUGCUCCGCAUGUGCAUAUGAAAUAGACUUAAGGUACAUAUAAGUUUUCUAUUUAUGUUAAAGCGUCAAGUUAAUUCCUAGCUAUGUAUUUAGUUAGUGUAAAAUUUUAAGGCUGAAACUCUUCCUACUUAGCAGAAGUAGGCUAUGUUGAGAAUUAGAGACUUGUUAAUUUUCUUUUGGGGAUCAAUUGAAUCUGAACUCUAUAUAUUUGUUUUAGAAAUAGAUAACUCUUAGUAUAGCAAUCUGGCCAUUCUUGUACCGUCAUCACACCCUCUACCUUACAUAGUUAUGUCGACGUUUGGCUUCUAAAUGCUGCGAUAAUUUCCUUAAUUAAGCUAAUUGAUUGCCAUCUUGGUUUCCUGUUAUCUGUAGACCAUCUUAUUUCUAACUCUAAUUAUAAGAUUGCAGUAUCCCUUUUCCAGGAAAUGUUCGUGAUCUUGAAGAAAGCAAAGUCCUCUUCGGCUGUAUGGACUCUGCGCAUGUACAAUCAGUCAUCGAUUCCCUGGCACCUACUGUGACGACAUAUCGACAUCCGGCAAUUGGUAUCCCUGCACAAGAAAUGGGGGGCUACAAGAAGCUACAUGCAUCAUCAUAGCUUUAUGUCAGGAGGCGGUUGUGAGGCCCCUUAAAACCCAUCUAGGGUUUUGUUCCUCUCGCUGGCGACGCUGCUAGCUCGCUCCAUCUCCGGUGGCCUUGGGGCCUUGGAGGCAUGGUGGACCACGGUCUCUCGCUGGCGGGAAGGUUUCAGUUCUUCGUUUAGUUUGUUUCCAGUGAGAAUAAUGUCCUCUCCGCUCUAUCCUCACUCCAGUGGUGCAUCUAGCGCCAAAGGAGAACGUGUGGAAUCGUGUGUCCGAAGGAUCUUCUGGGAUCGGGUCAGUUUUUGUGUUCGUUGGUGUCGUUUCAGGCCAGUCUCUUUCGAUCUACUUUGUCAUUAUUGGAUAUGGUUGUUGCUCUGGUGGUAGAUCCACUAGUAGAAAACCCCCCCUUUAGUACCGGUUCUAA